UACGUAGGGUGCGAGCGUUGCCCGGAUUUAUUGGGCGUAAAGAGCGUGUAGGCGGCCAGGUAGGUCUGCUGUGAAAACUCGAGGCUCAACCUCGAGACGUCGGCGGAAACCAUCUGGCUAGAGUCCGGAAGAGGAGAGUGGAAUUCCUGGUGUAGCGGUGAAAUGCGCAGAUAUCAGGAAGAACACCCGUGGCGAAGGCGGCCUGCUGGGCAGUAGCUGACACUGAGGCGCGACAGCGUGGGGAGCAAACAGG
This 253-nucleotide ribosomal RNA is filed under the name uncultured bacterium. Its description in RNAcentral is "partial 16S ribosomal RNA". It matches the Rfam family "Bacterial small subunit ribosomal RNA", at positions 524 to 776 of the family's 1533-position model. The record is from RNAcentral.